GCCAACCUGUUCUGGUCUGCUUACACGCUGUGGAAGCUUUGUUCUUUCGCUUUUUGCAAUAAAUCUUGCUACUGCUCACGCUUUGGGUCCACACUGCCUUUAUGAGCUGUAACACUCACCCCGAAGGUCUGCAGCUUCACUCUUGAAGCCAGCGAGACCACGAGCCCACCGGGAGGAAGGACAACUCCAGACGCGCUGCCUUAAGAGCCGUAACACUCACCGCGAAGGUCCGCAGCUUCACUCCUGAGCCAGCGAGACCACGAACCCACCAGAAGGAAGAAACUCCGAACGCAUCUGAAUAUCAGAAGGAACAAACUCCAGACACGCCGCCUUUAAGAACUGUAACACUCACCGUGACGGUCCACGGCUUCAUUCUUGAAUCUCUCUGAUGUGCCCAUUUCAGCCAUCAGAAGGGGGAACCCUAAAAGCCUCCUGGAAGGGUGACCUGCUCCUGAAACUGGUGCACACUGCUUCUGCCAGAUUCUGUUGGACACCACGGUUACCCAGCCACACCUACUGCGAGGGAGCCUGGGAAUGCAGACCAGCCAGGGGCCCCAUGAGAAGGGGUAACGGCUUCUGUUGGACAGCCGGACGGCAGCCAGCCAGCCCUUGGCCUCCAGACAUCUGUGAGACCCACCCUUCCUCCACACAUCGUGUUAGAAAAAGUCACCAUCAUCUCCAGGGAGAAGACCCAGCCCAAAGCCUGCCUCUCUAGGAUGGGCAGAGCCUUUCCGUGGGUCCCGAUGACUGUCUUCCGGGUCCAACUGACAGAUGAUUCAUUAAGCCAUCUGCUCCCCUCCCCCCGCAACCUGAGCCUUCAUCUGAUCUUUGCCGUAGGCCUGCACACUUUUGUUGGACUGAGCUGCCUGAGUGACAGGCCUUGAACAGCCACCAUCUUUUCUCCUACUGUUUGAGGCAUAAACAGUGGCUUUUUCAACCUGGGAGUCCCAACUUUCUGGGGUAACUCUAAUUGCAAACCGGCCCUCAAUUUCUGGAAACAGUAGUCAAGCUACAGGGAAUGAGUGCCUCGCGCUAACCUUCUGGCUCUUUCCUCCCUCUUCCCAGCGUUCCCAAGCCUUUACCUCGGCACACCAGGGGACGUGUGGCAUCAUCUUCAAUUCACCACAUCCGUUUCCCUGUAUCCCCAAGUGCCAGGGCAGGUGUAUCAGUCGGCUUUUGCCACAACAGUGCUGCAUAACGACGACCUUAAAGCUUGGUGGCCGAGUCUCACGCUCACAGGGCUAGGGCCGACCUCCACCUGGCCAAGCCCCUGGCCUCCGGGUUCUGGGAUGUGGGCUGGGCUGAGGUCCGCCCAGGUUUCUCGCUUCUUGGAGCCCCCGUCAGUUAUCUGCGUUCUCCAUUCUUCUCUGGGGCACAGCCUGCUUGUAGUGGGUCCCUGGCAAGCAGGAAGACCAGGCUGCCCUUGCUGGCACAUUCCAAACCUUUGCCCAUUUCAAAUCUGCUACCUUCCCACUAGCCAGAGCACGUCACUCGCCAAGCCCAAAGUCAAGGGAGGAGAGCCCACCCACCACCUAGAGACCACAGCAAGCAGACGGAUGUAAAAUUCUGCUACGGGGGAGUGAAAAACCAAUGAUUAAAUUGCUAAUUGAAUUGUAAGUUAAACUGCUCUGAGGCAUAGACGCUGGUGUAAAUGCCUAAACAAAAGAGAAGUGGAUUUCUCUCUUGACAACCAUGGCAGGGUUUCCGUUUGACAAUGGCCUUGAUUCUUGCAGUCACUCAGAGCCCUAGGCUGAGGGUGACUCUGCUGUCCUCAAGCGAAGCUUCCUGUGUCACCCUGGUUGUUGCCAGGCCCUGGGAAAGGAAAAGUUAAUGGAGGGCCUUUUGGGCCAGUCACAGGAGAGGCACACGUCACUGCUGUCACCUCCACUGCAGGUGGCCACCUGGCCACACCCCUUGCCAGGGAACCUGGCAGAUUCAGUCUAGCCCAGGCCAAGGAGGAGGGGCACCCAAUCUCGCUGUACAGCGCCGGCUCUGCGCUAGUUAGUUCGCUCGUGUUAGUUCUUCAGUUUGUGGUGCGUCCUUGGGGUUGGUGAUCCCAGCUUUGUGUGGGAUCCCUGCUUGUCCAUCAGCAGCACGUGGUCAGACACCUCAACUGUGGCUGACGGCUCAGAGCCCACGACUCCCCGCUCCCUCCAGGUGUUAUUCCACAAUGGGAUCUCUUCUCUGUCCACUGCCUGUGCUGAGUGUACUCAGCCAAGGGUGAGGCUGCCCUCCCACAGACACCCCAGCCAUCCCCCUCCCACUGUCCCAGGGCCCCUUGGCUCCUCUGGGAGCUGCCAUCACCUGCCAGCAGGUUUCACUUCUGGGCACCAAGGCUGUCAUUUCUUCCCUCCAGCGAGAGCAACGUCCCCACCCCCAUCUCCCCAGGACUCCUCCAGAUUUCUGGGCCACGGAGGGCACCCAUCUUGUCCCUGCUGGUUGUAAUGGACUUACAGUUUUUUUUUCUUUGUUUUUUUGGAGAUGGAGUUUCACUCUCGUUGUUGCCCAGGCUGGAGUGCAAUGGCGCAAUCUCGGCUCACCACAGCCUCUACCUCCUGGGUUCAAGCGAUUCUCCUGCCUCAGCCUCCUGAAUAGUUGGGACUACAGGCAUUCGCCACCAAGGCUGGCUAAUU
RNAcentral lists this long non-coding RNA (2633 nucleotides) under Homo sapiens (human). RNAcentral describes it as "HSALNT0392127". Lineage: Eukaryota; Metazoa; Chordata; Mammalia; Primates; Hominidae. The record is from RNAcentral.